Molecule: long non-coding RNA, 599 nt
Filed under: Heterocephalus glaber (naked mole-rat)
Lineage: Eukaryota; Metazoa; Chordata; Mammalia; Rodentia; Bathyergidae
Description: lncRNA (ENSHGLG00100040850.1)
Source: RNAcentral
CCAAAACUCAACAUUAGUCUUCUCGUGUUCUUUCUAUUCCACCACAGUUACAGAAUUACUCUCAGGCCACCAGAUCAACAUGACCCAAUCAUUGGGAAUAUCUACUCAUCCUGGACAGGUAAAUUCUACAAGGUCUCACUAUGAGCUGAGGCUGGCCUUGAACUCCUGGGCUGCAGCGAUCUUCCUGCCUUGGCUUCCUAAGUAGCUGGGACAACAGGAACAUGCCACCAAGCCAGCUUGGAGCCUAUGUCCAUUUGAUCCAGUUUUACAGCAGUGUUACCUGAAACAAAUAGGGUAAACUGAGAAGGUAAACUGAGAAGCUGACACCAGAAUCUCAUCUUAGGGAGAGGGAGAAACUGGACAUCACAGAAUAUCACCUUCUCUGGUCCUUACAUCUCCAUUUUGGGCUAGGUUCUAUUCUCACCUCCAUUUUCCAGAUGAGCAACCUGAUGCUUAGAAAAAAGCAAAGAGCAAGAAAGUAUUAGUCCUUGAACUUGAACCUUAGCAGACUUACUCCAAAGCCCACACUGUGACAACUGUCCACAGACCUGAGCCUUGCUCACCGCCUGCUACCAGGUGACCGGAUGUCACUGUUUCCC